UUCAAUGUUUGUAUUUACGUGACGCUGAUUUUUCAGAAUUGCAAUGGUCAACAGCAGAUCACAAUUUAAGCUCUGGGAAUUUCUGGCUAUUGAUAACAUGAAUUGAUUUCGGCACAGAACAUUGAGUUUUAGAGGCCCUCGAACACCCCAGUUCGCGAUGGAGAAACGCCGACGCUUCAUGCGGGCGUGAAGCUUGUCGUGAGCGGCCACAGAGACUUGACGGGUCGCGGCAUAUGUAGAGAUUACAGGAAGUGCAAGACCUUUUACACAUGUUUAAGGAAAAGACGGAAAAUUCUGGCAUGGUGGCCGCUAAUGGGAGACGUCACCUCAUUCCUAUACGGACAUCAGAGAGCGUGAAACACUCAACAGGAAAAUCUGCAAAGGGCACCUGAGAAUGGGCGUGAGAAAGGGGCUGCUCCUGCUUUGCCCUCUUUACAACACGAAAAUGCUGAGGGUGAUUUUUUCCAUCAUGAUGAAAGAAGGAAACGGAUGAAAUGUUUUGAUAUGAAAAGAAAUUUUCCAGCUCCCUGUGCUCCCGCAGUGGGGCAAGUGCUUUUAUUUAAGAGAAGCAGGAGCAUUCGCUGGGAAGGCGGUGGGUCGAGGAGGAGGAGCGGGUACAGGGCGAGGGCACCCCCCCACCUCCCCUGCCCACCCCAGCCCGGGCAGGAACCGGCAGGGAGCACACAGCAACGCCUCGUUAUGGCGUGCCCAUCUUGUAUUUACUUUAGAAAUUGCUUCAUGUUAAUUAAAUAUGUUACCUUUUAAAAUCUGCCCUCGCCACAUUGAAAUGCUUCAGUGUUUGUGAUGAGCUCUAAAUGAAUGGGGGAGAAAUGUUUGUAUUCAAGGCUUUUAUUUGUUUUUUGGCAAAAUUCCUUGAAUAAAUUAAUAGAUUAUAUCAUUA
Molecule: non-coding RNA, 901 nt
Organism: Phalacrocorax carbo (great cormorant)
Lineage: Eukaryota; Metazoa; Chordata; Aves; Suliformes; Phalacrocoracidae
Source: RefSeq, a predicted model, not a curated record